RNAcentral lists this ribosomal RNA (785 nucleotides) under uncultured bacterium. Its description in RNAcentral is "bacterial SSU rRNA". It matches the Rfam family "Bacterial small subunit ribosomal RNA", at positions 136 to 924 of the family's 1533-position model. The record is from RNAcentral.
CCAUCGGAUAACCCGUCGAAAGGCGGCCUAACACGAUAUGCGGUUCUCAGCAGGCAUCUAACGAGAACGAAAUGUGAAGGAGAAGGAUGGGGAUGCGUCUGAUUAGCUUGUUGGCGGGGUAACGGCCCACCAAGGCUACGAUCAGUAGGGGUUCUGAGAGGAAGGUCCCCCACAUUGGAACUGAGACACGGUCCAAACUCCUACGGGAGGCAGCAGUGAGGAAUAUUGGUCAAUGGACGCAAGUCUGAACCAGCCAAGUAGCGUGCAGGAUGACGGCCCUAUGGGUUGUAAACUGCUUUUAUAAGGGAAUAAAGUGAGCCUCGUGAGGCUUUUUGUAUGUACCUUAUGAAUAAGGACCGGCUAAUUCCGUGCCAGCAGCCGCGGUAAUACGGAAGGUCCGGGCGUUAUCCGGAUUUAUUGGGUUUAAAGGGAGCGUAGGCCGGAGAUUAAGCGUGUUGUGAAAUGUAGAUGCUCAACAUCUGCACUGCAGCGCGAACUGGUUUCCUUGAGUACGCACAAAGUGGGCGGAAUUCGUGGUGUAGCGGUGAAAUGCUUAGAUAUCACGAAGAACUCCGAUUGCGAAGGCAGCUCACUGGAGCGCAACUGACGCUGAAGCUCGAAAGUGCGGGUAUCGAACAGGAUUAGAUACCCUGGUAGUCCGCACGGUAAACGAUGGAUGCCCGCUGUUGGUCUGAAUAGGUCAGCGGCCAAGCGAAAGCAUUAAGCAUCCCACCUGGGGAGUACGCCGGCAACGGUGAAACUCAAAGGAAUUGACGGAAGGGCGU